RNAcentral lists this ribosomal RNA (216 nucleotides) under uncultured bacterium. Its description in RNAcentral is "partial 16S ribosomal RNA". It matches the Rfam family "Bacterial small subunit ribosomal RNA", at positions 118 to 351 of the family's 1533-position model. The record is from RNAcentral.
UGGGAACCUUCCUAGGGGUACGGAACAACUCAGGGAAACUUGAGCUAAUACCGUAUACGUCCGUGAGGAGAAAGUUUUAACGCCCCUAGACGGGCCCGCGUAGGAUUAGGUAGUUGGUGAGGUAACGGCUCACCAAGCCUACGAUCCUUAGCUGAUCUGAGAGGAUGAUCAGCCACACUGGGACUGAGACACGGCCCAGACUCCUACGGGAGGCAG